GUGUCAGCAGCCGCGGUAACACCGGCGGCUCGAGUGGUAACCGCUAUUAUUUGGUCUAAAGGGUCUGUAGCCGGCCGAAUAAGUCUUUUGGGAAAUCUGGCUGCUCAACAGUCAGGCGAUCAGGAGAUACUGUUCGGCUCGAGGCCGGGAGAGGUGAGAGGUACUUCAGGGGUAGGGGUGAAAUCUUGUAAUCCUUGAAGGACCACCAGUGGCGAAGGCGUCUCACCAGAACGGGCCUGACGGCAAGGGACGAAAGCUAGGGGCACGAACCGGAUUAGAUACCCGGGUAGUCCUAGCCGUAAACGAUACUCGCUAGGUGUCGGCCACGGUGCGACCGUGGUCGGUGCCGUAGGGAAGCCGUGAAGCGAGCCACCUGGGAAGUACGGCCGCAAGGCUGAAACUCAAAUGAAUUGACGGGG
This 419-nucleotide ribosomal RNA is filed under the name uncultured prokaryote. Its description in RNAcentral is "bacterial SSU rRNA". It matches the Rfam family "Archaeal small subunit ribosomal RNA", at positions 455 to 873 of the family's 1478-position model. The record is from RNAcentral.